Long non-coding RNA from Mustela lutreola (European mink), 2534 nucleotides. RefSeq lists it as uncharacterized. Lineage: Eukaryota; Metazoa; Chordata; Mammalia; Carnivora; Mustelidae. The record is from RefSeq and is a predicted model, not a curated record. The transcript is spliced from 5 exons.
GAGUUGCAUGCUCUUCCGACUGAACUGCCCAGAUGCCCCACACAUGUACUUCAUUUUAAAAUGUGUUGGCAUCUUUAAGAAAAAGCCUCAGUGGGAAAUAUAAACAUGAUGAAUAUUUUCUGAAGAAUCCUCUCCCUACCCCUCUUCCUAACAUAAAAGAAGCUUGAAUUUCGUGCUGAGGGGCUGAGGGAGAUGGUUCUUUGGAACAGUAGUCUGCCAUUGGCUUGGUUUGCUUUGCUUUUCCUGCUUCUCUACAAGCUUGGACUCCAUUACAAAUUUAGCAAGCCAGCUUAUGGCCAGCAGACCUGCCUCAGGGAUUCUUCAGGGAAGUCCCUAGCAACUAUCAGGACAAUUUGAUCCAGGGAUUUCUUCUUUUAUUUGAUUUCUUUCACUGGCUACCCCUGCACCAGGCUUUUGAGGCAAGAAUUCAACAAACAUCUCUGAGUCCACAGACCCAAAAGUAGGAGAGACACAGCGAGAGAGGGAACACAGCAGGGGAAGUGGGAGAGGGAGAAGCAGGCUUCCUGCUGGUCAGGGAGCCCGAUGUGGGGCUCGAUUCCAGGACUUUGGGAUCAUGACCUGAGCCGAAGGCAGAUACUUAAUGACUGAGCCACCCAGGUGCCCCAAUGAGGACCUUUCCCAAAUUGAGAAACGUUUGGGCUCCUUUUCGGCCAGUCCUGAUAACUAUAUUAAAGAAUUCCAAUAUCUGGCCCAAGCCUAUGACCUCACCUGGCAUGAUUUACAUGUGGUCCAGACCACCACCCCCACCACAGAGGAGAGGGAACGCAUCCAGGCUGCUGCCCGGGAUCACGCGGAUCAGGUCCAGCUCACUGAUGCUGCCAUGCCAGCUGGAGCCCGGGCGGUCCCAGCUGUAGACCCAGAUUUUAAUUAUUUGUCAGAGAGAGAGUGAGCGAGAGCGAGCACAGGCAGACAGAGUGGAAGGCAGAGUCAGAGGGAAAAGCAGGCUCCCUGCAGAGCAAGGAGCCCGAUGUGGGACUCGAUCCCAGGACACUGAGAUCAUGACCUGAGCCGAAGGCAGCUGCUUAACCAACUGUGCCACCCAGGCAUCCCAAGUCUGGCCUUUCAACUGCUUGGAUUGGAGGACGACUGACGAAGCCCAGACUCAGCCACCCCUCUCACCCAGGCCGAGCCCAGGGUUACGCUCCAGGUAGUGGGUAAUCGAACUUGUCCACAGGGCUUGCAAAACCUGUUCCGCCGUGAAUUCACAAGGAGGAAUCCGCAGACCAGGGCCUAACCAACAGCUCCGAGGUCAUCAGCCGGGGGAAGACUGACAACUGGACUUCACUCCCAUGCCUCGCCAUAAAAUACAUUCACAGGCUGGAUCGAGGCAUACCUCAUGGCCUGGGAAACAGCGGACGUAGUGGCUACAAUACUUAUCGAGCGUAUCAUCCCGAGGUUCGGAUUGCCCCGGACCAUCCAGUCGGACAACGGACCUGCCUUCAUCCCCAGUGUAACCCAACAGGUAGCUGAGAGCCUCAACAUAACCUGGAAACUUCACAUCCCAUACCACCCACAGUCAUCGGUAAGGUAGAAAAGGCCAACGGGCUGCUCAAAGCCCAACUCACCAAACCUACCCUAGAAACCCAUCUUUCCUAGCCUACACUUCUGCCUAUAGCUCUCACCAGACUCCUGGCUACGCCCCGUGGGUCUUCAGGCUUAAGCCCAUUUGACUUACUAUAUGGCCGGCCCUUUCUUAGAAAUCAUAGCCCUCCAGCUAUUUCCCCGCCUCUUUUAUCCUAUCUACCUUACCUCACUCUACAGUCGUAGGGAUACCCCUCCCUAUUGACUGGCCACUCCCCAACUUCAGGGCCACAAAUAAUACGGUCCAUAUGGGCCCCAUUGGGGGAAACAUACCUAUUAUUAAUGUGUCCUCCCUUACCACCGCAGCGGCCAUAUCACUAACUCCUCCCUCCUGUACUGUACUCCCUCGGGAAUAUUUCUCUUGUGCCCUCAGGGAAUCUAUUGUUGCCUGACCACUAACGACUCCCUGGGCUGUAUAUUCAUCCUACUAUCUCCUUCUACCACCAUCUACUCUGAAUCCCAGCUGCUGUCCAUCCUAUUUCCCCAACACCAUGGAGGGAGGGCUGCCUUCCUCCCAUUCAUAACAGGGGCAGGAAUAGCCACAGGGGUGGCAACUGGAACAGCGGGGAUAGGAACCUCCAUAGACUUUUUUCUUACAAACUCUCCCAAGCCCUGAAUGAUGACACGGAACGGGUUGCUGACUCCCUCACAGCCCUACAGACGCAAGUCACCAGCCUAGCAGCCUUAGCUCUACAGAACCGAUGGGCCUUAGACCUUCUGACCGCCGAAAAAGGGGGGACCUGCCUAUUAUUAAAUGAAGAAUGUUGUUACUUUGUUAACCAAUCAUAUAGUUACCUCCAGGAUCAAAGAACUCAGGGAUCGGAUCCAAGCACGGUGGCGAGACAUGUCCUCCUGGGACCUGGACCCCUACAACUGGGUAACCUGGCUGCUCCCUCUGGCGGGACCUGUAUGCAUAAUCCUCCUUCUAAUCU